GGGGUAGUAAAGGUUUCGACAGGGGUCUUGCAGCUGGAGAAGCUAUCCGUAGCCAAACGUUAGAUUGCAAACUUAAAAUUAAACGCUGAAGAUACUCAGUACGCAUUUGCAGCGUAAGCUGUAAGUGACGCGCCUUCGUGGCGCUUGUCCGUUCCGGGGCACUCACACUUCGGAGUACGGGCAUCGACUAUGUGAGAAACGACUUGUGUUAAGCUUUGCGCACAUGGGCGUAUGAUGAAGCUACCGAUAUAAUCAGGGUGUUCGUUUCCUGCUUAUAAAGGGAACAGGUGGGGGAGAGCUCCACCGGGAUAACGGACUAUGAUAGUAGAAGGACAGGGAAUGGGCUUUUGGACACGGGUUCGACUCCCGUCUACUCCAU
This 379-nucleotide transfer-messenger RNA is filed under the name uncultured Acetatifactor sp. It matches the Rfam family "transfer-messenger RNA". Rfam says of the family: Bacterial tmRNA, also known as 10Sa RNA or SsrA, is named for its dual tRNA and mRNA-like properties. Its role is to liberate the mRNA from a stalled ribosome. Lineage: Bacteria; Bacillati; Bacillota; Clostridia; Lachnospirales; Lachnospiraceae. The record is from RNAcentral.